This 1222-nucleotide ribosomal RNA is filed under the name Escherichia coli. RNAcentral's name for it is "partial 23S ribosomal RNA". It matches the Rfam family "Bacterial large subunit ribosomal RNA", at positions 1 to 1264 of the family's 2925-position model. Lineage: Bacteria; Pseudomonadati; Pseudomonadota; Gammaproteobacteria; Enterobacterales; Enterobacteriaceae. The record is from RNAcentral.
GGUUAAGCGACUAAGCGUACACGGUGGAUGCCCUGGCAGUCAGAGGCGAUGAAGGACGUGCUAAUCUGCGAUAAGCGUCGGUGAGGUGAUAUGAACCGUUAUAACCGGCGAUUUCCGAAUGGGGAAACCCAGUGUGUUUCGACACACUAUCAUUAACUGAAUCCAUAGGUUAAUGAGGCGAACCGGGGGAACUGAAACAUCUAAGUACCCCGAGGAAAAGAAAUCAACCGAGAUUCCCCCAGUAGCGGCGAGCGAACGGGGAGGAGCCCAGAGCCUGAAUCAGUGUGUGUGUUAGUGGAAGCGUCUGGAAAGGCGCGCGAUACAGGGUGACAGCCCCGUACACAAAAAUGCACAUAUUGUGAGCUCGAUGAGUAGGGCGGGACACGUGGUAUCCUGUCUGAAUAUGGGGGGACCAUCCUCCAAGGCUAAAUACUCCUGACUGACCGAUAGUGAACCAGUACCGUGAGGGAAAGGCGAAAAGAACCCCGGCGAGGGGAGUGAAAAAGAACCUGAAACCGUGUACGUACAAGCAGUGGGAGCCUCUUUAUGGGGUGACUGCGUACCUUUUGUAUAAUGGGUCAGCGACUUAUAUUCUGUAGCAAGGUUAACCGAAUAGGGGAGCCGAAGGGAAACCGAGUCUUAACUGGGCGUUAAGUUGCAGGGUAUAGACCCGAAACCCGGUGAUCUAGCCAUGGGCAGGUUGAAGGUUGGGUAACACUAACUGGAGGACCGAACCGACUAAUGUUGAAAAAUUAGCGGAUGACUUGUGGCUGGGGGUGAAAGGCCAAUCAAACCGGGAGAUAGCUGGUUCUCCCCGAAAGCUAUUUAGGUAGCGCCUCGUGAAUUCAUCUCCGGGGGUAGAGCACUGUUUCGGCAAGGGGGUCAUCCCGACUUACCAACCCGAUGCAAACUGCGAAUACCGGAGAAUGUUAUCACGGGAGACACACGGCGGGUGCUAACGUCCGUCGUGAAGAGGGAAACAACCCAGACCGCCAGCUAAGGUCCCAAAGUCAUGGUUAAGUGGGAAACGAUGUGGGAAGGCCCAGACAGCCAGGAUGUUGGCUUAGAAGCAGCCAUCAUUUAAAGAAAGCGUAAUAGCUCACUGGUCGAGUCGGCCUGCGCGGAAGAUGUAACGGGGCUAAACCAUGCACCGAAGCUGCGGCAGCGACACUAUGUGUUGUUGGGUAGGGGAGCGUUCUGUAAGCCUGUGAAGGUGGCCUGU